AUUGAACGCUGGCGGCAUGCUCUACACAUGCCAGUCGAACGGUAACAGGCCGCAAGGUGCUGACGAGUGGCGAACGGGUGAGUAAUGCAUCGGAACGUGCCCAGUCGUGGGGGAUAACUACUCGAAAGAGUAGCUAAUACCGCAUACGAUCUAUGGAUGAAAGCGGGGGACCGUAAGGCCUCGCGCGAUUGUAGCGGCCGAUGUCAGAUUAGGUAGUUGGUGGGGUAAAGGCUCACCAAGCCAACGAUCUGUAGCUGGUCUGAGAGGACGACCAGCCACACUGGGACUGAGACACGGCCCAGACUCCUACGGGAGGCAGCAGUGGGGAAUUUUGGACAAUGGGCGCAAGCCUGAUCCAGCAAUGCCGCGUGCAGGAAGAAGGCCUUCGGGUUGUAAACUGCUUUUGUACGGAACGAAACGGCUCUGGUUAAUACCCGGGGCUAAUGACGGUACCGUAAGAAUAAGCACCGGCUAACUACGUG
This 482-nucleotide ribosomal RNA is filed under the name uncultured bacterium. Its description in RNAcentral is "partial 16S ribosomal RNA". It matches the Rfam family "Bacterial small subunit ribosomal RNA", at positions 30 to 507 of the family's 1533-position model. The record is from RNAcentral.